UAACUGCUUGGGAAUCUGCCCAUUAGUGGGGAACAAGCAGCGAAAGGUUGGCUAAUACCGCAUACGCCCUACGGGGGAAAGCGGGGGAUCGUAAGACCUCGCGCUAAUGGUAUGAUGCCCAAUGUCGGGAUUAGGCUUGUUGGUAGGGUAACGGGCUAUCCAAGGCGGACAAUCCGUAGGCUGGUCUGAGAGGACGACCAGGGCACACUGGGACUGAGACACGGUCCAGACUCCUACGGGAGGCAGCAGUGGGGCAAUAUUGGACCAAUGGGGGCAACCCUUGAAUCCCAGCGACGCCGCAGUGAUGUGCAAGCAAGGCCUGCGGGUUGUAAAGCACUUUUAGUGGGGAUGAAAAGCUCAGGGUUAACACCUCUGGGUCUUGAUCUAACCCACAGAAAAAGCACCGGCUAACUCUGUGCCAGCAGCCGCUGGUAAUACAGAGGGUGCAACGCGUUAAUCGGAAUUACUGGGCGUAAAGCGUGCGUAGACGGUUACAUAAGUCGGGUGUGAAAGCCCCGGGCUCAACCCCGGGAAUUGCAUUCGAGGACUGCGUAGCUUGGGUGCGGAAGAGGGAAGCGGAAUUUCCGGUGUAGCGGUGAAAUGCGUAGAUUCGGAAUGGAACACCAGUGG
RNAcentral lists this ribosomal RNA (630 nucleotides) under uncultured bacterium. Its description in RNAcentral is "bacterial SSU rRNA". It matches the Rfam family "Bacterial small subunit ribosomal RNA", at positions 111 to 715 of the family's 1533-position model. The record is from RNAcentral.